AGAGCUUAGAAUGAUGAACUCGAGGGGCUUUGAGUUUCGUUUGGUUCUUGUGAGAAUUCGAGACUGAGUUUGAGAGAGGGUGAGUUUGAGUUUGGUGAGAAAGUUGAAAUCAAGAAGGUUCCUGUGGGUUUGAAAUCGAAAGGUGAAAGAGUAUAUUCGGGAGUCGCUGGAAGAUGGACAGGUUGGAGGAAAAUGGGCAGCAGAUGGAACAUACAAUAGUGGUGAAACAAGAUGUUGUAGGAUUGAUUUUGAAGAACCGACUUUUAGAAUGCUUGAUUCCAGCUUCCUUGGCUCCAUUGUUUAGUUGAUGUUUAUCCUCUCCAUAUAUGGAUUAGAACAUCCAGCAACUCCCAUAGCUUUGUUGAUCUUCUUUGACCGCCACCAUGGUUUUCUUUCUUCUUCUCUGUUCAUGUCUCCCUCUUGGAAACAAUUCUUUCUUGUUCUCUGCCUCAAGCUUUUCUUCUUUUGUGGGCUUCUUCUCUCCAUCACCAUCUGAAACCACUUCUCACACGGCCUUCUUCUCAGGUUCUCAGCUGCAAGAAGAGUUUCAUCAUGGCUGGUUUCAUUAUCUUCUUCUUCUCUUCAGUCACUUUUGAGACUGAUUUCUUCUUGUUCUCUCACUCAUCUCACGGCCAACUUCUCUUUCUCUUGUUCUCACUUGUACUAUGUUUUUGUACUCACUCUCUGUUUUUGUCCAAGCUGUGUUUUUGCUUGUACACUCUCACAAGGUAUAAGCAUUACGAACACCAUGGAGAAGAGGAACAAAUAUUAACUUGAAAACUUGAAGAACCCUAAUUUCAGUUUGGGCAUCUCAAGACUCAGAUAUAAGGAAGAAGAAAGUCUUGUCGUUCUUUUGCUUUCAUUAAAAGCUACGUUUCAACUAAACGGGGGGUUUCCAAAUUUUAAACAGGACAAGUAACGGAGGGUCUAGCUCAUUAAGAAAAGUAACGUUGGAGGUUUUUAUGGAGUGGCUUGUGACAUAGGGUCACUUCAAGUUUUUAAUUGGCCAAGUGGGUCGCUGCAAGUUUUUAUUGUCGAAACGGGCCGCUAGGAGGGAGAGAAAUAAAUCGGUGACGAAUUUGACCUUUUGACCCAUAAACUUAUAGAUUCUGACUCGACAACUUGUGAAAUGUGGAAGCAAAAAUGACCCAAAGAGUUAAACUCUAAAACUUGUUUACACAGACAAAGCUGAAAUCUGACUCUGCUGGGUGGAAUUAGACUCGCAAACUCCAUUCUUGACCCGACAAUCUCUGCAUUUUGCAAAGUAAGAGUCUUGAGUCCCAGUUGAUUUAAAACUCGAAUAUUGUGAAGAAAUCUCACCAAAUCGAUUGUAAAGAAAUCCCAGUCCCAGUACAGCAAACUCAUCUCUAAACCUGAACUUGACGGAGCUCAUGCUGGACCGGAGCUUGAACGAACCAGAGCUUUACCAAACCAGAGCUUUACCGAAGAACCGGAGCUUUACUGAGCUUAUGCCGGUAUACGAGAGCGACAA
Molecule: long non-coding RNA, 1492 nt
Organism: Brassica oleracea var. oleracea
Lineage: Eukaryota; Viridiplantae; Streptophyta; Magnoliopsida; Brassicales; Brassicaceae
Exons: 3
Source: RefSeq, a predicted model, not a curated record